AUAUCUGCUGAACAAAGAAAAUAAUACCAGACAUCUAAGUAAUCCUUUAAGUACUUGACAUACAUUAUUACAUCAUUCAAUUACCUCAACAAUUCUGAACAGUGGGUACCAUCUAGCACAAAGCCUGAAAGAUAAUAAACAUUUGAUAUAUGCUUGUUGAUAGCUUUUGUGGAUGAGGAAAUGAGGACUCGGAAAAGCUAGGUAACUUACCUGUGGCCACACAGCUAGGUAAAUGGUAAAGUCUUCUAAAUCACAAAUGAUUUAAAGGAAAAACAGACUUUUCCCAUUAUAAUUCUUGAUGCCAUGGUAUAGUAGAUAAAGUGCUGGAGACAGAAUCAGAAGGAACUUAAUUCAAACUUCAUCUAAGAUAUUUACCAGCUGGGAGCUUAGAUGCUGUCCCAAGCACACUCAUAAGACAACUUGCACAAGGGUGUGGCUUUCGCACUAUAAAGCAGAGAAGCUCACAGGGCAGGAUUCUGGGAAACUUCAGGGAAACAGGCUCAACUCAAUGAACAAGCAGACCAGUUGAGUUUGAAAGCAGUUUGGCUGUAUCUUGGGUACAAGUCUACAAAACAGCAAACUUUCUCAUCUGAGUUCUCACCUGAAGGACCUAGAAUACAGCUCCUACAUUUUUUUUUUCUUUUUUAAUCACGGUAUCUGUUUUUCCUCUUAAUUUUUAAAAAAAUGAGUACAGAAAGAGACUGAGGAAUCUCUGGUGGGAUGGGCCUGGGGGAGUUAGCCCUAUCUUCCCAAUCAGCCAUAACCUCCCUUGAAACACAUCCCUUAUUCAGACACCUAAGCAACUGUGCUCAUCAGACCACUUCUCCAAACCAUAUGCACUUCACCUAUGUGGUUCUUAUUGACAAACACUCAUGGAAAUCCAGGAAGAUUAAAGCAACCAACUUGCAAGACCCAAACCAAUUACAGUCUAGCGCAGUAUCAGCAAUCCUGAAAAGUUAUGUACAGACUGAAUUUCCUCCCAAAGUCAAGCUCGGUUUUACAUGUGCCAAGGAGAUACAGAUAUUUAAAGAAGCCAGGGAGCAAACGCUCUCUCAAAGGGAAAAAUCGCUUUACAGAGUGUAUGGACGUCGCUACUUCUUCUGGUUGACUUUGGACGGGGGCACUGGGGCUUUCUCAGAGAGCAUACCUAGCGCACCCUUGAAGCGCCGCUGCCGCGCAAUCACCUCACCUCACGCUGCCCUCCACGUCCCCGCACUGCAGGAGUGGACAAUGCACCAAACGGGAGCUCUCCCCACAGCUCCUGCAGCUCCCCAGCUCCGCCCAGGGCUGCUUUGGUUUGUCCUUUCUCCCAACAAGUGGUAGUCUGUCCUUAAAAGUUUGGAGCGAGACUGAAGGGGAUAAGAGAAGCCCUCUACUGGGAGAAAGCGGCUCAGGUCUACCAUCUGCGCCAGGUCCUCCUGGACUCAUCCUGAAGGAGUCCGUUCCGCCAAGCCUGGGGGUCCCUCUGUAAAUUUCCCAAAAGAUAAAUCCGCAAGCUUUGAG
Sarcophilus harrisii (Tasmanian devil) is the source of this 1503-nucleotide RNA transcript. RefSeq lists it as uncharacterized. The record is from RefSeq and is a predicted model, not a curated record. NCBI's taxonomy places the organism in Eukaryota, Metazoa, Chordata, Mammalia, Dasyuromorphia, Dasyuridae. The transcript is spliced from 3 exons.